CAUGAAAGAAUGAUGAGUAA
This 20-nucleotide microRNA is filed under the name Medicago truncatula (barrel medic). RNAcentral's name for it is "mtr-miR2628". The record is from miRBase by way of RNAcentral. Lineage: Eukaryota; Viridiplantae; Streptophyta; Magnoliopsida; Fabales; Fabaceae.